This 147-nucleotide unclassified non-coding RNA is filed under the name uncultured Helotiales. RNAcentral's name for it is "sequence contains ITS2". Lineage: Eukaryota; Fungi; Ascomycota; Leotiomycetes; Helotiales. The record is from RNAcentral.
CAACCCUCGAGCGCUGCUUGGUAUUGGAUGUCACUGUCACUGUUGCAGUGCAUCUCAAAGUUAUUGGUGGCAGCAUUCAGCUUCUGGUGUAGUAAAUUUCUCGCCAUGGAGCUGAUGUGUGACUGCCAGAACCCCUAAUGUAUUAAA